AGCACCAGUGGUCUAGUGGUAGAAUAGUACCCUGCUACGGUACAGACCCGGGUUCAAUUCCCGGCUGGUGCACCUAGGAGCGGUGACG
Molecule: transfer RNA, 88 nt
Filed under: Helianthus annuus (common sunflower)
Lineage: Eukaryota; Viridiplantae; Streptophyta; Magnoliopsida; Asterales; Asteraceae
Description: tRNA-Ser
Rfam family: tRNA (bases 2-72)
About the family: Transfer RNA (tRNA) molecules are approximately 80 nucleotides in length.
Source: RNAcentral